This 847-nucleotide long non-coding RNA is filed under the name Zea mays. RNAcentral describes it as "long non-coding RNA (ZMAY_LNC002129)". The record is from RNAcentral. Lineage: Eukaryota; Viridiplantae; Streptophyta; Magnoliopsida; Poales; Poaceae.
ACCUCUGCUUGAUCAUUUCCGCAGCAUGCAAUCUUGCUUCUAGCAUGUUGGAGGAACAGACGGAGCUUUAGCUAGUAGUAAAGAAUCAAGACCCAGGAUCAGAAUCUAGACUAACUCCAUAUGCCAGGACAGCACAGCCACAUGACCACCAUUAUAAAAGAAGAAACUAGUAUUUGUAUUACCAAACACAGUCAGAAUUUUGUGCAGAUAAACUUUCAAUUCUUGAAAGCAUCUCCUCCCAGAGGCGGCAUCUUCUGAAGUUUAGAGAUACAGAGUAGGACACCAUGUUGCAUCUCGACUGUGAGGAUGCCGAGAUUCCAGUAGAGGACCACGUUGUCCAUCUGCCAGCAGCCCGGCAUCGACAACACCGCAUCGGUGAGGACGUGAUCGUCGAGAGCGUAGCAGUGGAGCUUGAACAAGACCUGGUCACGCCAGCGAGAGUACUGCUGGGACGAGUCAAGAUGAGGACGACGGAGGCGAGGCCCCGGAUGCGUCGGGUGUGGGAAGGGCGGCGGCGUUGUCGUGCGCGGAGUGGGAGCCAUCGCCUGGGACUCCGCCGAACGAGUCAAGUUUUCUCUCCUCCCACUAGUCGUCGCCCUCCCCAGGAUAUGCCUUUCUCCUCCAGGAACCUGAUGACGCGGCUUCCCCUAUCCGUGGCGCGGGCAAGACCUUCCCUGCCACCCCUGUUCUCGUCGGUGCCCAGGAGGCCACUGUCACCCUGCACGGCGCGGGCAUGGACCUGUUCCCCUCGCCGGCGCUGUCUCCUUCAGCACAUGCACGGCCGGGCUCGGAUCCCUUCUCCCCAGCGCCGCCUCCCUACACGACGCGGGCGCGGCCCCCUUCUCAC